Molecule: ribosomal RNA, 458 nt
Filed under: uncultured bacterium
Lineage: Bacteria
Description: partial 16S ribosomal RNA
Rfam family: Bacterial small subunit ribosomal RNA
Source: RNAcentral
CCUAGGUGGCAGCAGUGAGGAAUAUUGGUCAAUGGACGAGAGUCUGAACCAGCCAAGUAGCGUGAAGGAUGACUGCCCUAUGGGUUGUAAACUUCUUUUAUAUGGGAAUAAAACAGGGUAUGCAUACCCUCUUGUAUGUACCAUAUGAAUAAGGAUCGGCUAACUCCGUGCCAGCAGCCGCGGUAAUACGGAGGAUCCGAGCGUUAUCCGGAUUUAUUGGGUUUAAAGGGGGCGUAGGUGGAUAGGUAAGUCAGUUGUGAAAGUUUGCGGCUCAACCGUAAAAUUGCAGUUGAAACUGGCAGUCUUGAGUACAGUAGAGGUGGGCGGAAUUCGUGGUGUAGCGGUGAAAUGCAUAGAUAUCACGAGGAACCCCGAUUGCGAAGGCAGCCUGCCGGGGUGCGACUGACGCUGAGGCUCGAAGGUGCGGGUAUCAAACAGGAUUAGAUACCCUGGUAGUC